Molecule: small RNA, 137 nt
Filed under: Marmota monax (woodchuck)
Lineage: Eukaryota; Metazoa; Chordata; Mammalia; Rodentia; Sciuridae
Source: RNAcentral
GCCGGGCACAGUGACACAUGCCUGUAAUCCCAGCAUUUGGGAGGCUGAGGCAGGAGGAUCACAAGUUCAAAGCCAGCCUCAGCAAGGGCGAAGCUCUAAGCAACUCUGUCUCUAAACUCUGUGAGACCUUGUCUCUA